This 465-nucleotide ribosomal RNA is filed under the name Vreelandella stevensii. Its description in RNAcentral is "partial 16S ribosomal RNA". It matches the Rfam family "Bacterial small subunit ribosomal RNA", at positions 338 to 795 of the family's 1533-position model. Lineage: Bacteria; Pseudomonadati; Pseudomonadota; Gammaproteobacteria; Oceanospirillales; Halomonadaceae. The record is from RNAcentral.
CCUACGGGUGGCUGCAGUGGGGAAUAUUGGACAAUGGGCGAAAGCCUGAUCCAGCCAUGCCGCGUGUGUGAAGAAGGCCUUCGGGUUGUAAAGCACUUUCAGUGGGGAAGAAAGCCUUGGGGCUAAUACCCUCGAGGAAGGACAUCACCCACAGAAGAAGCACCGGCUAACUCCGUGCCAGCAGCCGCGGUAAUACGGAGGGUGCGAGCGUUAAUCGGAAUUACUGGGCGUAAAGCGCGCGUAGGCGGUCUGAUAAGCCGGUUGUGAAAGCCCCGGGCUCAACCUGGGAACGGCAUCCGGAACUGUCAGGCUAGAGUGCAGGAGAGGAAGGUAGAAUUCCAGGUGUAGCGGUGAAAUGCGUAGAGAUCGGGAGGAAUACCAGUGGCGAUGGCGGCCUUCUGGACUGACACUGACGCUGAGGUGCGAAAGCGUGGGUAGCAAACAGGAUUAGAUACCCCAGUAGUC